Molecule: ribosomal RNA, 440 nt
Filed under: uncultured bacterium
Lineage: Bacteria
Description: partial 16S ribosomal RNA
Rfam family: Bacterial small subunit ribosomal RNA
Source: RNAcentral
CCUACGGGCGACAGCAGUGGGGAAUAUUGCACAAUGGGGGAAACCCUGAUGCAGCGACGCCGCGUGAGUGAAGAAGGAAUUCGGGAUGUAAAGCUCUGUCAGCAGGGACGAAAAUGACGGUACCUGAGUAAGAAGCCCCGGCUAACUACGUGCCAGCAGCCGCGGUAAUACGUAGGGGGCAAGCGUUAUCCGGAUGUACUGGGUGUAAAGGGAGCGUAGACGGCAGUGCAAGUCUGCAGUGAAAGGCGGGGGCUCAACCCCCGGACUGCUCUGGAAACUGUACGGCUGGAGUGCAGGAGAGGCAAGUGGAAUUCCUAGUGUAGCGGUGAAAUGCAUAGAUAUCACGCAGAACUCCGAUUGCGAAGGCAGCAUACCGGCGCCCGACUGACGCUGAGGCACGAAAGCGUGGGGAGCGAACAGGAUUAGAUACCCUAGUAGUC